RNAcentral lists this transfer RNA (82 nucleotides) under Salvia splendens (bonfire salvia). It matches the Rfam family "tRNA". From Rfam's summary of the family: Transfer RNA (tRNA) molecules are approximately 80 nucleotides in length. Lineage: Eukaryota; Viridiplantae; Streptophyta; Magnoliopsida; Lamiales; Lamiaceae. The record is from Rfam by way of RNAcentral.
GUCAAUAUGUCCGAGCGGUUAAGGAGAAAGACUUGAAAUCUGUUGGGCUUUGCCCGCGCAGGUUCAAACCCUGCUGUUGAUC